UGGUCGUAUGUGUGACGCCAUUUACUUGAACCUUUAGGAGUGACAUCACAUAUACGGCAGCU
This 62-nucleotide microRNA precursor is filed under the name Homo sapiens (human). RNAcentral's name for it is "Hsa-Mir-489-v2_pre stem-loop". It matches the Rfam family "mir-489 microRNA precursor family", at positions 13 to 74 of the family's 84-position model. The record is from RNAcentral. Lineage: Eukaryota; Metazoa; Chordata; Mammalia; Primates; Hominidae.